RNAcentral lists this ribosomal RNA (253 nucleotides) under uncultured bacterium. RNAcentral describes it as "partial 16S ribosomal RNA". It matches the Rfam family "Bacterial small subunit ribosomal RNA", at positions 524 to 776 of the family's 1533-position model. The record is from RNAcentral.
UACGAAGGGGGCUAGCGUUGCUCGGAAUUACUGGGCGUAAAGCGCACGUAGGCGGCUUUCUAAGUCGGAGGUGAAAUCCUGGAGCUCAACUCCAGAACUGCCUUCGAUACUGGAGAGCUCGAGUCCGGGAGAGGUGAGUGGAACUGCGAGUGUAGAGGUGAAAUUCGUAGAUAUUAGGAAGAACACCAGUGGCGAAGGCGGCUCACUGGUCCGGUACUGACGCUGAGGUGCGAAAGCGUGGGGAGCAAACAGG